AGUUUGAUCCUGGCUCAGAUUGAACGCUGGCGGCAGGCCUAACACAUGCAAGUCGAGCGGUAGCACAGAGAGCUUGCUCUCGGGUGACGAGCGGCGGACGGGUGAGUAAUGUCUGGGAAAUCCUGUGGAGGGGGAAAAUCGGGAACGGGUAUUAUACCCGCAAACGUGCAAAACCAAAAGUGGGGCCUUUCGGCCCCCUCCCCUUAAAAUGCCCCAGAUGGGAUUAGUUGGGAGGUGGGUAACGGUUCCCCUGGGGGGACGACCCCUAGUGUGUUUGAAGGGAUGCCCAGCCCACAGGGAAAUGAGACACGGUCCAGAUUCCUAGGGGGGGCACCAGUGGGGAAUUUUGCACAAUGGGCGCAACCUUGAUGCACCCAUGCCGCGUUGGUGAAAGAAGCCUUUCGGGUUGUAAAGCACUUUCAGCGGGGAGGAAGGCGAUAAGGUUAAUAACCUUGUCGAUUGACGUUACCCGCAGAAGAAGCACCGGCUAACUCCGUGCCAGCAGCCGCGGUAAUACGGAGGGUGCAAGCGUUAAUCGGAAUUACUGGGCGUAAAGCGCACGCAGGCGGUCUGUCAAGUCGGAUGUGAAAUCCCCGGGCUCAACCUGGGAACUGCAUUCGAAACUGGCAGGCUAGAGUCUUGUAGAGGGGGGUAGAAUUCCAGGUGUAGCGGUGAAAUGCGUAGAGAUCUGGAGGAAUACCGGUGGCGAAGGCGGCCCCCUGGACAAAGACUGACGCUCAGGUGCGAAAGCGUGGGGAGCAAACAGGAUUAGAUACCCUGGUAGUCCACGCCGUAAACGAUGUCGAUUUGGAGGUUGUGCCCUUGAGGCGUGGCUUCCGGAGCUAACGCGUUAAAUCGACCGCCUGGGGAGUACGGCCGCAAGGUUAAAACUCAAAUGAAUUGACGGGGGCCCGCACAAGCGGUGGAGCAUGUGGUUUAAUUCGAUGCAACGCGAAGAACCUUACCUGGUCUUGACAUCCACAGAACUUUCCAGAGAUGGAUUGGUGCCUUCGGGAACUGUGAGACAGGUGCUGCAUGGCUGUCGUCAGCUCGUGUUGUGAAAUGUUGGGUUAAGUCCCGCAACGAGCGCAACCCUUAUCCUUUGUUGCCAGCGGUUAGGCCGGGAACUCAAAGGAGACUGCCAGUGAUAAACUGGAGGAAGGUGGGGAUGACGUCAAGUCAUCAUGGCCCUUACGACCAGGGCUACACACGUGCUACAAUGGCAUAUACAAAGAGAAGCGACCUCGCGAGAGCAAGCGGACCUCAUAAAGUAUGUCGUAGUCCGGAUUGGAGUCUGCAACUCGACUCCAUGAAGUCGGAAUCGCUAGUAAUCGUAGAUCAGAAUGCUACGGUGAAUACGUUCCCGGGCCUUGCACACACCGCCCGUC
This 1388-nucleotide ribosomal RNA is filed under the name uncultured bacterium. Its description in RNAcentral is "bacterial SSU rRNA". It matches the Rfam family "Bacterial small subunit ribosomal RNA". The record is from RNAcentral.